CUUGCAGAAAAAGACAUUCUACAAAAAGCUUGUUGCAACUUGGCCGAGAUUGAAGGGCCCUCCAGGGUCCCUUGGCCCCCCUGGGGAUGCUGGACCUCCUGGACCCCCGGGAAUUACUGGAAAACAAGGACGAAAAGGAGAUGGAGGAAAAAUCGUAGGU
This is a long non-coding RNA of Oncorhynchus tshawytscha (Chinook salmon), 160 nucleotides long. RefSeq lists it as uncharacterized. The record is from RefSeq and is a predicted model, not a curated record. The transcript has 3 exons. NCBI's taxonomy places the organism in Eukaryota, Metazoa, Chordata, Actinopteri, Salmoniformes, Salmonidae.